This 2248-nucleotide ribosomal RNA is filed under the name Triticum aestivum (bread wheat). RNAcentral's name for it is "partial small subunit ribosomal RNA". Lineage: Eukaryota; Viridiplantae; Streptophyta; Magnoliopsida; Poales; Poaceae. The record is from RNAcentral.
GUACAGCGUGGGGGUGGGAGCGCGUGAUUGGAUGGACUGCAGCGAUUAGGAUUGGGCAGCCAUUCUCUCUCCCGUGAAAAUAUCUCCCUUCUCUCCCUCAUCCCGCUCCUCUUCUCCGUGUCGCCGCCGCCUCCGCUCCCCUCCCUCUCGGCCGCCUCGUCUCCUCCGCCUCCACCAUCUCCUCCUCCCGCGUCUCCUCGUCCCAUCUUGCUGCCGCCGGCUCCCCUCCUCUCCCCCUGAUUCUCCCCUUCAGCUCGGCCGUCUCAUCUCCUUUGCUGCUGCGCCGCCUCUUCCUCUGCCUCCGUGCUCAACAGGAGGAGCCGGGGUCGCAGCUGCACCACACGACAGUGGGCGAGGGCGAGCUCCAGCGCGAGCAUGCGGAGAGCUAUCCACUGGAUCCGGCCGGCCCAGAUCCACACGGCUCCGUCAACGACAGGCCCGGGGACCCUGCCGGCGUGGGUGUGCCGGCGUCGUUCUCUCUUCUCCAAUCCAUUCUUCCAGAUUUCUCUCCUUCUCUUUCUUAUGUACUCUUUUCUUGACGAACAGAGGGGGACGAAUUAGGAUGGAUCCACGCUGUCGACGCCUCUAAUUUGCUGCCAUGAACGAGGCCUCGCCCAGCGACCACCUCCAUUCAGCUGGCGGAAGAUGACGAUGGCCAACUCCCAGGUGCAGCCAGGCGGGAGGCGAAAAUGGCAAGGGCGGCAGGAGAAAUUCCUCCUUGUGUUGCUGCAUCACUGCAUCUCCCGAUAUUCCAGGAGUAGCUCGCCUGCCUGCUUUGAGAAGAAGAGAUGGAAGGUGGAGGUGGGAACAUGACGCAACGAGGAUAAGGCGUGGGCGUUACAAGAAGUGGGUUGGAGCAAGAAGUAGAGCAGGCAAUUCCCCUCUCUACAUUGGCAUCUACACAGCCAAAUCAAGGACUUAAACUCCUGAUGUCCAUGUAUUUGCUAAUGCUGUCCAUAAGAACGGCUCCUCCUAUCCCCUGCUCCUCUCGCAUUGGCGCAAGUCCGCCUCCUCCCCCGCCUCGGUCUCAACGCGUGCAGCAGCGAUCCGGGAGGAGCUCGAGCCGCAGUGGUGGUCCAUGAUGCCUUCGCCGUCGUCCCCGGCUGGAGAAGCAUGGGCCGCAGAGACGGCCGGAUCUGUCCGGCCCUCACGCUGUCGUUCGUCCACUCUCAAGGAUAAUUUGUUUGUUCAGCUGAUUUGUACAGUUCCAAUACCGGGUUGUUAAGGAAAAUCCAGAUGAUGCAUUCUACGAGUUGGAGACCCCCCCAACAGCAAAUUUAGUCCGACGUCUUUGAUGAAAAUAGUGGUUUGAGCCAUAGUUCCAAGAAUGGAGCUGGACAGUCUUUUUGAGGAAAAAAAUGAUGUCGCAAAGGCCAGGACUUAAGAGAGAUGCUGAUACUAUGAGGUGAAAUGUUCAUUUACUUAAGAGAAACGUGCACAAGGAUGACUGACCGUGUGCGGCACUGACCUCGAUGGCGCCCCGCAUCAUUUCUGCCCGACCUCAAUGUUUACCUCGUCACCCACGGCCAGAUGGUCGAAGACAUCCCGACGAAGCAGCACAUGCUUGUCCCUUCUUUCAUUGGCGGCGGGAGAAAGAGGAUCCACCUGCUCCCUUAUGCUGAUUCGAGCCUUCCUUGUGAGUUGGCUCCAAUUUUUGGAGAAAUUUUGAGCUGUAUUGAGUCCGAUGUUGUCAAUCGAGCCGCAUAGCCAGGAGGGAGGUGGGGGCAAUAUGAGCCCAGAUAAUCCUGCGGCGAAAACAAGAGGCGGUCUUUGACGAAUCUCUGGACAAACACUGCUGUCAAGCCAGCUGGCGCUCCAAAGAAAACGAAGCAGUAGUUCUUUCAUGGACUAGGCUAGAUAUGUACAUACGGGUAUCUUCUAUGUUCUGCUUGCUUAUCAAGCGAAGUUCACCAUUAGAAGGGUGUCUUGCUGAAGAGAGCUUCUCAGCUCUGCUGCGUCACAGCAAUGGUCUGGCCAUCGGGGUCUGAAGAUCGUCAACUCAGCACACUUUUGGGCGUGCACCAGGUUUAUUUUGUGCAACUUUGUAAGACAAGGCUUUGACACUCGCAUAACUAUGUCGAGCCACUGUCAUGACAAUUCCUCUAUUUAGGUCCUCGAACAAAUCAAGUACUAUGCGUUGUAAAUAUCGCCGUCAGCCCUUUCUGUCUUAUCUCCCUUCUUAUGACAAUUUCUACCUCCUGUAAAUGCCACUGGGCCAUGCUGCUUAAUCUAAGUCUUUUUGUUCUUG